AGUGGGGAAUAUUGCACAAUGGGCGCAAGCCUGAUGCAGCGACGCCGCGUGAGGGAUGACGGCCUUCGGGUUGUAAACCUCUUUCAAUAGGGACGAAGCGCAAGUGACGGUACCUAUAGAAGAAGGACCGGCCAACUACGUGCCAGCAGCCGCGGUAAUACGUAGGGUCCGAGCGUUGUCCGGAAUUACUGGGCGUAAAGAGCUCGUAGGUGGUUUGUCGCGUUGUCCGUGAAAUCCCACAACUCAAUUGUGGGUCUGCGGGCGAUACGGGCAGACUGGAGUACUGCAGGGGAGACUGGAAUUCCUGGUGUAGCGGUGGAAUGCGCAGAUAUCAGGAGGAACACCGGUGGCGAAGGCGGGUCUCUGGGCAGUAACUGACGCUGAGGAGCGAAAGCGUGGGGAGCGAA
RNAcentral lists this ribosomal RNA (407 nucleotides) under uncultured Mycobacterium sp. Its description in RNAcentral is "bacterial SSU rRNA". It matches the Rfam family "Bacterial small subunit ribosomal RNA", at positions 353 to 772 of the family's 1533-position model. The record is from RNAcentral. Lineage: Bacteria; Bacillati; Actinomycetota; Actinomycetes; Mycobacteriales; Mycobacteriaceae.